This 837-nucleotide ribosomal RNA is filed under the name Bacillus safensis. RNAcentral describes it as "bacterial SSU rRNA". It matches the Rfam family "Bacterial small subunit ribosomal RNA", at positions 70 to 890 of the family's 1533-position model. The record is from RNAcentral. Lineage: Bacteria; Bacillati; Bacillota; Bacilli; Caryophanales; Bacillaceae.
AGAAGGGAGCUUGCUCCCGGAUGUUAGCGGCGGACGGGUGAGUAACACGUGGGUAACCUGCCUGUAAGACUGGGAUAACUCCGGGAAACCGGAGCUAAUACCGGAUAGUUCCUUGAACCGCAUGGUUCAAGGAUGAAAGACGGUUUCGGCUGUCACUUACAGAUGGACCCGCGGCGCAUUAGCUAGUUGGUGGGGUAAUGGCUCACCAAGGCGACGAUGCGUAGCCGACCUGAGAGGGUGAUCGGCCACACUGGGACUGAGACACGGCCCAGACUCCUACGGGAGGCAGCAGUAGGGAAUCUUCCGCAAUGGACGAAAGUCUGACGGAGCAACGCCGCGUGAGUGAUGAAGGUUUUCGGAUCGUAAAGCUCUGUUGUUAGGGAAGAACAAGUGCGAGAGUAACUGCUCGCACCUUGACGGUACCUAACCAGAAAGCCACGGCUAACUACGUGCCAGCAGCCGCGGUAAUACGUAGGUGGCAAGCGUUGUCCGGAAUUAUUGGGCGUAAAGGGCUCGCAGGCGGUUUCUUAAGUCUGAUGUGAAAGCCCCCGGCUCAACCGGGGAGGGUCAUUGGAAACUGGGAAACUUGAGUGCAGAAGAGGAGAGUGGAAUUCCACGUGUAGCGGUGAAAUGCGUAGAGAUGUGGAGGAACACCAGUGGCGAAGGCGACUCUCUGGUCUGUAACUGACGCUGAGGAGCGAAAGCGUGGGGAGCGAACAGGAUUAGAUACCCUGGUAGUCCACGCCGUAAAACGAUGAGUGCUAAGUGUUAGGGGGUUUCCGCCCCUUAGUGCUGCAGCUAACGCAUUAAGCACUCCGCCUGGGGAGUACGGUCGCA